AACUUGAGUGCAGAAGAGGAGAGUGGAAUUCCACGUGUAGCGGUGAAAUGCGUAGAGAUGUGGAGGAACACCAGUGGCGAAGGCGACUCUCUGGUCUGUAACUGACGCUGAGGAGCGAAAGCGUGGGGAGCGAACAGGAUUAGAUACCCUGGUAGUCCACGCCGUAAACGAUGAGUGCUAAGUGUUAGGGGGUUUCCGCCCCUUAGUGCUGCAGCUAACGCAUUAAGCACUCCGCCUGGGGAGUACGGUCGCAAGACUGAAACUCAAAGGAAUUGACGGGGGCCCGCACAAGCGGUGGAGCAUGUGGUUUAAUUCGAAGCAACGCGAAGAACCUUACCAGGUCUUGACAUCCUCUGACAACCCUAGAGAUAGGGCUUUCCCUUCGGGGACAGAGUGACAGGUGGUGCAUGGUUGUCGUCAGCUCGUGUCGUGAGAUGUUGGGUUAAGUCCCGCAACGAGCGCAACCCUUGAUCUUAGUUGCCAGCAUUUAGUUGGGCACUCUAAGGUGACUGCCGGUGACAAACCGGAGGAAGGUGGGGAUGACGUCAAAUCAUCAUGCCCCUUAUGACCUGGGCUACACACGUGCUACAAUGGACAGAACAAAGGGCUGC
Molecule: ribosomal RNA, 611 nt
Filed under: Bacillus pumilus
Lineage: Bacteria; Bacillati; Bacillota; Bacilli; Caryophanales; Bacillaceae
Description: bacterial SSU rRNA
Rfam family: Bacterial small subunit ribosomal RNA
Source: RNAcentral